GAUGUUGAGGUCUCGUGGGAUUAACCCACAAAUUAAAACUUGUAAUUCGUUGAUUUGUAGCGUUUCAAGGUAUAGAGGGUCUUACGCGGGUUAUGGACUUUUUAGGGAGGUUUUUGGAUCCAAGGAUAAUGAGACUGAGGAAGAGGUGAAAAGGAAUGUUAGAGCCAGGCCUAAUGUACAUAGUUUUAAUGAGUUGAUGAUGGGCUUUUACAGAGAUGGUGAAAUGGAGAUGGUUGAGGAGGCAUGGAAUGAAAUUGAGAGAUUUGGAUGUGUUCCAAACGGGUUUAGCUAUAGUGUCUUGCUGUCUACGUUUUGUGAGGAAGGGAAGAUAAAGGAAGCGGAGAAGUCAUGGGAAGAAAUGAGAGCAAGGGGAAUAAAGCCUGAUGUUGCAGCUUAUAAUACUAUCAUUGGUGGAUUUUGCAAGAUUGGGGACAUCGAGAAAUCUGAGGAGAUUUUAAGAGAAAUGGAACUGAGUGGAGGAGAAAGUACUUGCGUUACUCUUGAGCACCUAAUCAAUGGCUACUGUAGAGUUGGGG
This 536-nucleotide unclassified non-coding RNA is filed under the name Hevea brasiliensis (rubber tree). The record is from RNAcentral. Lineage: Eukaryota; Viridiplantae; Streptophyta; Magnoliopsida; Malpighiales; Euphorbiaceae.